Molecule: ribosomal RNA, 253 nt
Filed under: uncultured bacterium
Lineage: Bacteria
Description: partial 16S ribosomal RNA
Rfam family: Bacterial small subunit ribosomal RNA
Source: RNAcentral
UACGUAGGUGGCAAGCGUUGUCCGGAUUUACUGGGCGUAAAGCGCGCGCAGGCGGCUAUCCAAGUCAGUGGUGAAAGCCCGGAGCUCAACUCCGGAACUGCCAUUGAAACUGUUUAGCUUGAGGAUGAGAGAGGUGAGUGGAAUUCCCAGUGUAGAGGUGAAAUUCGUAGAUAUUGGGAAGAACACCGGUGGCGAAGGCGGCUCACUGGCUCAUUACUGACGCUCAGGCGCGAUAGCGUGGGGAUCAAACAGG